Molecule: ribosomal RNA, 468 nt
Filed under: uncultured bacterium
Lineage: Bacteria
Description: partial 16S ribosomal RNA
Rfam family: Bacterial small subunit ribosomal RNA
Source: RNAcentral
GACGAACGCUGGCGGCGUGCUUAACACAUGCAAGUCGAACGGAAAGGCCCUGCUUUUGUGGGGUGCUCGAGUGGCGAACGGGUGAGUAACACGUGAGUAACCUGCCCUUGACUUUGGGAUAACUUCAGGAAACUGGGGCUAAUACCGGAUAGGAGCUCCUGCUGCAUGGUGGGGGUUGGAAAGUUUCGGCGGUUGGGGAGGGACUCGCGGCUUAUCAGCUUGUUGGUGGGGGAGUGGCUUACCAAGGCUUUGACGGGUAGCCGGCCUGAGAGGGUGACCGGCCACAUUGGGACUGAGAUACGGCCCAGACUCCUACGGGAGACAGCAGUGGGGAAUAUUGCACAAUGGGCGGAAGCCUGAUGCAGCAACGCCGCGUGCGGGAUGACGGCCUUCGGGUUGUACACCGCUUUCGCCUGUGACGGGGCGUGAGUGACGGUAAUGGGUAAAGAAGCACCGGCUAACUACGUG